CAGUAAAAAUUUUUUUUACUGUUCAUCCCUGCUCUGGCUAUAGACUCUCAGAGUCAUCAUCCUAUAAGAUCACAUAGGAUGUUCUCUCCUCCUACAAGGAGUGAUUGAUUCCUUAUUGACCACUCACAACCUUUAUUCACACUUUACCAUACCUAAAAUAUCCUACACAUAUUUCAAAAUAGCAUGCUAGAGAAUAAACCAAAGUAAGG
RNAcentral lists this long non-coding RNA (209 nucleotides) under Elaeis guineensis (African oil palm). RNAcentral describes it as "long non-coding RNA (EGUI_LNC066275)". The record is from RNAcentral. Lineage: Eukaryota; Viridiplantae; Streptophyta; Magnoliopsida; Arecales; Arecaceae.